AGUAGCUCAGUUGGUAGAGCAGGAAAAACAGUCUCUUUUCGUUAGUUACCUUGCUUUAUGAUAAAAUUGGAUAAGUGCCGUAGAAAAGAGUUACUUCGGUCCAAUGGCAGGUUCAAAUCCUGCUUCCGA
Molecule: transfer RNA, 129 nt
Filed under: Sphingobacterium sp. DR205
Lineage: Bacteria; Pseudomonadati; Bacteroidota; Sphingobacteriia; Sphingobacteriales; Sphingobacteriaceae
Description: tRNA-OTHER
Source: RNAcentral